Molecule: non-coding RNA, 277 nt
Organism: Anolis sagrei ordinatus
Lineage: Eukaryota; Metazoa; Chordata; Lepidosauria; Squamata; Anolidae
Source: RefSeq, a predicted model, not a curated record
UGGUCAUGGGGGUUCUGUGUUGGAGGAUAUAAAUACAUAUAAUACUGCUAAUAAUAAUAACAAUAAAUAUUUCUCUGUUUUUCUUUUCCAGAGUAGCUAAUUCCAUCAGGAGAGUGUUCAUUGCUGAAGUUCCCACCAUCGCCAUAGACUGGGUACAGAUAGAUGCCAACUCCUCGGUCCUCCAUGAUGAGUUUAUUGCACAUAGGUUAGGUCUGAUCCCUCUUACCAGUGAUGAUGUUGUUGAUAAACUGCAAUAUUCCAGGGUGAGUCUAAGUCU